GGGUCGGUAGCUGAGAUGGUUUAGCGGCGGCCUGAAACACCGCAGACGUGGAUUCGAGCGCCACCCGACCCAC
RNAcentral lists this transfer RNA (73 nucleotides) under Tautonia plasticadhaerens. RNAcentral describes it as "Planctomycetes bacterium ElP tRNA-Phe". It matches the Rfam family "tRNA". From Rfam's summary of the family: Transfer RNA (tRNA) molecules are approximately 80 nucleotides in length. The record is from RNAcentral. Lineage: Bacteria; Pseudomonadati; Planctomycetota; Planctomycetia; Isosphaerales; Isosphaeraceae.